This is a long non-coding RNA of Cydia pomonella (codling moth), 1030 nucleotides long. RefSeq lists it as uncharacterized. NCBI's taxonomy places the organism in Eukaryota, Metazoa, Arthropoda, Insecta, Lepidoptera, Tortricidae. The record is from RefSeq and is a predicted model, not a curated record. The transcript has 2 exons.
GAAGCUAUACAUGCAAAGACGAAACUACAAGUAGCGUUAUGCUAUUUGGUGACUGGGAUGAGCUACCGUUAUUUGCAGGCUUUUUACAGAGUGUCUCGGGCUGCAAUAUCAUCGUUCAUACCGGAAGUCAUGGAUGCAAUAUUUACUUAUUUGGAGAAUUAUUUAAAGGUACCGCAGACCAAUGAAGAAUGGAAAGAAAUAGAAACAGGUUUCAGAACUAGGUGGAAUUUCCCUGGUUGCCAUGGCGCUAUAGACGGGAAGCAUGUGAUAAUUCUAGCACCACCGAAUUGUGGAAGUGAAUAUUUUAAUUACAAGGGUACCAACAGUGUGGUUUUGAUGGCUGUGGUUGAUCAUGACUAUUGUUUUCGCUAUGUAAAUAUUGGAGCAAACGGAAGAAACUCGGAUGGGGGGAUUUUUAAAAACAGCCAAUUACGUAGUGAUCUUGAGAAUAAUUUGCUACCGAAAGGAGGAUUUUUGGUUGGAGAUGAUGCGUUUCCACUAAAAACAUAUUUAUUAAAACCAUAUAGUGGCACAAAUCUUUCAACAAAACAAAAACUAUUUAACUACAGACUCUCUAGAGCACGAAGAAUUGUCGAAAAUGCGUUUGGCAUUCUGGCAAGCAGGUUUCGAAUUUUUCAAAAGCCCAUACCAACUAGUGACGUAACCACCGAUAAAAUUAUUCUCGCCUCUUGUGCUCUGCAUAAUUGGUUACGUCUCACAAGUCCCGGUAUUUACUUUCCAAAGGGUUGUGUUGAUCAAGAAGAUAUAGAUUCGGGAUCCGUUAUUGUGGGGACUUGGAGACAAGAACUACAAGCUAAUUUGCCAAGUAUCACUAAUCAUAACACCAACAAUGCAGCACGUAUAGCAAGGGAGCUUCGAGAUAAAUACGCAGAGUUCUUCAGUGGGGCAGGUGCCGUUUCGUGGCAAAACAGAAUGAUUUCAUAAUUUUAAGCAAUUUAAUUUCAGAAAUACCUACAUUAUACUUAGCAUAAAAAGUAACAUAAUAAAAAGCACUUACGUUUUGCAUAAA